This 260-nucleotide unclassified non-coding RNA is filed under the name uncultured Chaetothyriales. RNAcentral's name for it is "sequence contains 5.8S rRNA gene, ITS2, 28S rRNA gene". The stretch from base 1 to 52 matches the Rfam family "5.8S ribosomal RNA", at positions 103 to 154 of the family's 154-position model. The record is from RNAcentral. Lineage: Eukaryota; Fungi; Ascomycota; Eurotiomycetes; Chaetothyriales.
AACGCAUAUUGCGCCCUUUGGUAUUCCGAAGGGCAUGCCUGUUCGAGCGUCAUUAUCAUAAUAUCAAGCUUGGCUUGUUGUUGGGCCCUUUUGUCACCUGGUGACAGGUCCAAAAGACAAUAACCGGUGUCAUACAGACUCUAUAUGCAACGAGCUUAUAACAGCACGCAUCUGGUGGUCGUGUGGCCCGGUUUUCACUGAUAAAUUUUAUCAUUCUCAAGGUUGACCUCGGAUCAGGUAGGAAUACCCGCUGAACUUAA